ACUCCUGGCAUGUAACCGGGGCCAGCCCUUGGGUGUGACCUGUCAGGUGCCACACUGACUGCUGGCUCCUGUCCGAUCUGGGCGUGCAAGCCACUGCCCAUGUCAGUGGGUCUGGGGUCAGAUCCCAUGUUUCCAGAUGCGGUGGCAACACAUACGGAAUCCUGGGAUGUCAGUGCUGUAGGGAACUCCCAAGACCAUCCAGGCUCAGACCUUUCAUUUACAGACAAGGCGCCCACUGAGAGGAGAGGCCUUGCCCAAGAUCACUCAAUAUUUUGGGGACACUCCCAUCUUCCAAUUCCACAGAGCCCUGGACAGGGGCAGUAGGCCCAGGAGCUGAGUGAGCGGGAAGAGAGAUGCUCAGGCCCCAGUGGCCGCCUUCUGCUCCCGGCACCUGCCACCUGGGUCUUGUUGGAAACUGUCCUCAUGUGGGUGCCAGGUCAUCCCAUCCACUGCAGGGAGUCUCUUCCUGAAGACUGGCAGGGGCCCAGCCAGAGGCCUCAUGGUGCCACCUACUGCCUCAGGUGGUGGGAAGACUGUGCCCAAGGACUGCCCUUCAGAGCCCAGGUUGGGACUGCGGGCUGGGCAGCGGCCCCUGGAGGUGAGGCUGGGGAUUGCAGCUUCCUGUCAGCCCCUGCCUCCCUGCUCAUCUUCUCAGCCCAGGCACCCUGCAGGUCCCACCUAGUUGCA
This is a long non-coding RNA of Myotis myotis, 687 nucleotides long. RefSeq lists it as uncharacterized. Lineage: Eukaryota; Metazoa; Chordata; Mammalia; Chiroptera; Vespertilionidae. The transcript has 3 exons. The record is from RefSeq and is a predicted model, not a curated record.